CUACGGGAGGCAGCAGUGAGGAAUAUUGCACAAUGGGGGGAACCCUGAUGCAGCAACGCCGCGUGGAGGAUGACGCAUUUCGGUGUGUAAACUCCUUUUAUAUGUCAAGAAAAUGACGGUAGCAUAUGAAUAAGCACCGGCUAACUCCGUGCCAGCAGCCGCGGUAAUACGGGAGGGUGCAAGCGUUACUCGGAAUCACUGGGCGUAAAGGACGCGUAGGCGGGUUGGAAAGUCAGGUGUGAAAUCCUACAGCUUAACUGUAGAACUGCACUUGAAACUUCUAAUCUAGAGUAUGGGAGGGGGAGAUGGAAUUAGUGGUGUAGGGGCAAAAUCCGUAGAUAUCACUAGGAAUACCUAAAGCGAAGGCGAUCUCCUGGAACAUUACUGACGCUAAGGCGUGAAAGCGUGGGGAGCAAACAGGGUUAGAUACCCCGGUAGUC
RNAcentral lists this ribosomal RNA (440 nucleotides) under uncultured bacterium. RNAcentral's name for it is "partial 16S ribosomal RNA". It matches the Rfam family "Bacterial small subunit ribosomal RNA", at positions 339 to 795 of the family's 1533-position model. The record is from RNAcentral.